AGGCGAGGCCGACAGGCGUAGUCGAUGGAUGACGGGUUGAUAUUCCCGUACCGGCGAAGCACCGCCCAUGCUGACGCGCGGGUGCUAACCCACGCCCGGCCGCCAUAUAGGCCGCAUGUGUCAGGUUCGCCUGACGGUGUGGUUGUGGUGGUGGGGUCUGGGGAUCCUCCGUGCAGGUAGGCAAGCGUGUUAACAGGGGUGACGCACAGUGGUAGCCCGGCGGAUCUGAUGGCUUGGUCCGUUCAAGCGCGCAGCCCGUCUCCUAGGUAAAUCCGGGGGGCAGCCCAUGUGGUUGGGUGGGGGUGAGGCGUGAUGGUGACCCCAUGUUUGGUGGGGGAUAUCAGGGUGAUCCUGGGGUGCCGAGAAAAGCCUCGACGCGAUGGUGCCAGCCGCCCGUACCCUAAACCGACACAGGUGGUCGGGCAGAGUAUGCCUAGGCGCACGAGUGAAUCAUGGUUAAGGAACUCGGCAAAAUGCCCCCGUAACUUCGGGAGAAGGGGGGCCCUAUCCUUUGAAGCCCCGUUUUGCGGGCUAGGGGGGUGGGCCGCAGAGACCAGGGGGAAGCGACUGUUUACUAAAAACACAGGUCCGUGCGAAGCCGUAAGGCGAUGUAUACGGACUGACGCCUGCCCGGUGCUGGAAGGUUAAGAGGAACCAUCAACCCCCUUGUGGGGUGAAGUGGUGAAUUUAAGCCCCAGUAAACGGCGGUGGUAACUAUAACCAUCCUAAGGUAGCGAAAUUCCUUGUCGGGUAAGUUCCGACCUGCACGAAUGGCGUAACGACUUCCCCGCUGUCUCAACCAUGAGCUCGGCGAAAUUGCAGUACGAGUAAAGAUGCUCGUUUCGCGCAGAAGGACGGAAAGACCCCGGGACCUUUACUAUAGCUUGGUAUUGGCGCCCGCUAUAGCUUGUGCAGGAUAGGUGGGAGACGUUGAAGCUGUCACGCCAGUGGUGGUGGAGUCGUCCUUGAAAUACCACUCUGGUUAUGGCGUGCGCCUGAACCUGGGCCCGUGAUCCGGGUCAGGGACAGUGCCUGGUGGGUAGUUUAACUGGGGCGGUUGCCUCCUAAAGUGUAACGGAGGCGCUCAAAGGUUCCCUCAGCCUGGUCGGCAACCAGGUGUUGAGUGCAAGUGCACAAGGGAGCUUGACUGUGAGACCGACGGGUCGAGCAGGUACGAAAGUAGGAACUAGUGAUCCGGCGAUCCCGUGUGGGUGGGUCGUCGCUCAACGGAUAAAAGGUACCCCGGGGAUAACAGGCUGAUCCUGCCCAAGAGUCCAUAUCGACGGCAUGGUUUGGCACCUCGAUGUCGGCUCGUCGCAUCCUGGGGCUGGAGCAGGUCCCAAGGGUUGGGCUGUUCGCCCAUUAAAGCGGUACGCGAGCUGGGUUUAGAACGUCGUGAGACAGUUCGGUCCCUAUCCUCUGCGCGCGCAGGAGACUUGAGAAGGCCUGUCCCUAGUACGAGAGGACCGGGACGGACGAACCUCUGGUGUGCCAGUUGUCCCGCCCGGGGCACGGCUGGUUGGCUACGUUCGGGACGGGUAACCGCUGAAAGCAUCUAAGCGGGAAACCAUCUUCAAGACAAGGUCUCCACAAGGGGCUCCGGCUCCUUGACAGGCCCCCAGCAGACCACUGGGUUGAUAGGCCGGAAGUGGAAGACCGGUAACGGUUGGAGCUGACUGGUACUAAUAGGCCGACACAAACAACA
Molecule: ribosomal RNA, 1705 nt
Filed under: human oral metagenome
Description: bacterial LSU rRNA
Rfam family: Bacterial large subunit ribosomal RNA
Source: RNAcentral